Molecule: long non-coding RNA, 298 nt
Filed under: Cicer arietinum (chickpea)
Lineage: Eukaryota; Viridiplantae; Streptophyta; Magnoliopsida; Fabales; Fabaceae
Description: long non-coding RNA (CARI_LNC001398)
Source: RNAcentral
CGGUUGAAAAAUUUGGAUUCCGUUGCUACGGCACUCAACUAGCAAGCCAACACACGCGCGCGCGCCACGUCCACGUCUUAGUCGUAGUCGUAGUCGUAGUCGUCGCGCGCGUGUUGUUUUACCCACAUCCGAUUGAAAAAUUUGGAUUCCGUUGCUACGGCACUCAACUAGCAAGCCAACACACGCGCGCGCGCCACGUCCACGUCUUAGUCGUAGUCGUAGUCGUAGUCGUAGUCGUAGUCGUAGUCGUAGUCGUAGUCGUAGUCGUAGUCGUAGUCGUAGUCGUAGUCGUAGUCGU